AACGAACGCUGGCGGCAUGCCUAACACAUGCAAGUCGAACGAAGGCUUCGGCCUUAGUGGCGCACGGGUGCGUAACGCGUGGGAAUCUGCCCCUCGGUUCGGAAUAACAGUUAGAAAUGACUGCUAAUACCGGAUGAUGACUUCGGUCCAAAGAUUUAUCGCCGAGGGAUGAGCCCGCGUAAGAUUAGGUAGUUGGUGGGGUAAAGGCCUACCAAGCCGACGAUCUUUAGCUGGUCUGAGAGGAUGAUCAGCCACACUGGGACUGAGACACGGCCCAGACUCCUACGGGAGGCGGCAGUGGGGAAUAUUGGACAAUGGGCGAAAGCCUGAUCCAGCAAUGCCGCGUGAGUGAUGAAGGCCUUAGGGUUGUAAAGCUCCUUUACCAGGGAUGAUAAUGACAGUACCUGGAGAAUAAGCUCCGGCUAACUCCGUGCCAGCCGCCGCAGUAA
Molecule: ribosomal RNA, 449 nt
Filed under: uncultured bacterium
Lineage: Bacteria
Description: partial 16S ribosomal RNA
Rfam family: Bacterial small subunit ribosomal RNA
Source: RNAcentral